RNAcentral lists this ribosomal RNA (197 nucleotides) under uncultured soil bacterium. RNAcentral's name for it is "partial 16S ribosomal RNA". It matches the Rfam family "Bacterial small subunit ribosomal RNA", at positions 29 to 253 of the family's 1533-position model. The record is from RNAcentral.
AACGAACGCUGGCGGCAGGCCUAACACAUGCAAGUCGAACGCUCUAGUAAUAGAGAGUGGCAGACGGGUGAGUAACGCGUGGGAAUCUUCCUAUCGGUACGGAAUAGCUCAGCGAAACUUGGGGUAAUACCGCAUACGCCCUUCGGGGGAAAGAUUUAUCGCCGAUAGAUGAGCCCGCGUCUGAUUAGCUAGUUGGU